This 180-nucleotide ribosomal RNA is filed under the name uncultured Glomeromycotina. RNAcentral describes it as "partial small subunit ribosomal RNA". Lineage: Eukaryota; Fungi; Glomeromycota. The record is from RNAcentral.
GGAUUAAUUUAUUGGUCGUGCUAUUGUACGUACUGGUAUUAUUGAUUCCUACCUUCUGACGAACCAUGAUGUCAUUAAUUUGGUGUCAUGGGGAAUCAGGACUGUUACUUUGAAAAAAUUAGAGUGUUCAAAGCAGGCGUAACUUGCAUUCGAAUACAUUAGCAUGGGAUAAUAGAAUAC